CUACGGGAGGCACCAGUGGGGAAUAUUGGACAAUGGGGGAAACCCUGAUCCAGCAAUGCCGCGUGUGUGAAGAAGGCCUGCGGGUUGUAAAGCACUUUCGGUUGGGAGGACUGCUUCUAGCACUAAUAUUGUUGGAAGUUGACGUUACCUUCAGAAGAAGCACCGGCUAACUCCGUGCCAGCAGCCGCGGUAAUACGGAGGGUGCAAGCGUUAAUCGGAAUUACUGGGCGUAAAGCGCGCGUAGGCGGCUAGAUCAGUCGGGUGUGAAAGCCCCGGGCUUAACCUGGGAACUGCAUCCGAUACUGUCUAGCUUGAGUACAGGAGAGGAGAGUGGAAUUCCACAUGUAGCGUUGAAAUGCGUAGAUCUGUGGAGGAACACCACUGGCGAAGGCAGCUCUCUGGCGUCAUAUUGAUGCUGAGGUGCGAAAGCGUGGGGAGCAAACCGGAUUAUAUACCCGUGUAGUC
This 465-nucleotide ribosomal RNA is filed under the name uncultured bacterium. RNAcentral describes it as "partial 16S ribosomal RNA". It matches the Rfam family "Bacterial small subunit ribosomal RNA", at positions 339 to 795 of the family's 1533-position model. The record is from RNAcentral.